UACAGAGGUCUCAAGCGUUGUUCGGAUUCAUUGGGCGUAAAGGGUGUGUAGGUGGCGCGCUAAGUCGGGUGUGAAAUCUCGGAGCUUAACUCCGAAACUGCAUUCGAUACUGCCGUGCUUGAGGACUGGAGAGGAGACUGGAAUUUACGGUGUAGCGGUGAAAUGCGUAGAUAUCGAGAGGAACACCGGUGGCGAAGGCGGCCUUCUGGACAGUGACUGACGCUGAGACGCGAAAGCGUGGGGAGCAAACAGG
Molecule: ribosomal RNA, 253 nt
Filed under: uncultured bacterium
Lineage: Bacteria
Description: partial 16S ribosomal RNA
Rfam family: Bacterial small subunit ribosomal RNA
Source: RNAcentral